UGAGUAACACAAACGUUGGUGAGAAUCCAAUGCCUCAAAAACCCAAGAGUUCCUCCGCAAGGUUCAUCCACGGAGGGUGAGUCAGGGCCUAAGAUCAGGCUGAAGGGCGUAGUCGAUGGACAACAGGUGAAUAUUCCUAUACUACCCUAUGUUGGUCUCGAGGGACGGAGGAGGCUAGGUUAGCCGAAAGAUGGUUAUCGGUUCAAAGAUGCAAGGUGCCCCUGCUUUUUCAGGGUAAUAAGGGAUAGAGAAAAUGUCUCAAGCUAAAGUUCGAGUACCAAGCGCUACAGCGCUGAAGUAAUCCAUCCCAUACUCCUAGGAAAAGCUCGAACGACUUUCAACAAAUGGAUACUUGUAUCUGAAACCGACACAGGUGGGUAGGUAGAGAAUACCUAGGGGCGCGAGACAACUCUCUGUAAGGAACUUGGCAAAAUAGCCCUGUAACUUCGGGAGAAGGGUUUCUGGAAUUCGCUAUUUAUUUUACACUUUUGAAAAGGGCCUUUUUGGAAUUAUGAAAAUAUACUAAUGAAAUAGUCUUUCUGGGAGACACUAUAUCUU
Molecule: non-coding RNA, 558 nt
Organism: Glycine soja
Lineage: Eukaryota; Viridiplantae; Streptophyta; Magnoliopsida; Fabales; Fabaceae
Source: Rfam